AUUGAACGCUGGCGGCAUGCCUUACACAUGCAAGUCGAACGGUAACAGGUCUUCGGAUGCUGACGAGUGGCGAACGGGUGAGUAAUACAUCGGAACGUGCCCGAUCGUGGGGGAUAACGAGGCGAAAGCUUUGCUAAUACCGCAUACGAUCUACGGAUGAAAGCAGGGGACCGCAAGGCCUUGCGCGAACGGAGCGGCCGAUGGCAGAUUAGGUAGUUGGUGGGAUAAAAGCUUACCAAGCCGACGAUCUGUAGCUGGUCUGAGAGGACGACCAGCCACACUGGGACUGAGACACGGCCCAGACUCCUACGGGAGGCAGCAGUGGGGAAUUUUGGACAAUGGGGGAAACCCUGAUCCAGCAAUGCCGCGUGAGUGAAGAAGGCCUGG
This 387-nucleotide ribosomal RNA is filed under the name uncultured bacterium. RNAcentral describes it as "bacterial SSU rRNA". It matches the Rfam family "Bacterial small subunit ribosomal RNA", at positions 30 to 419 of the family's 1533-position model. The record is from RNAcentral.